UCUAAUGUGGCAGAUUAGUGCGGUGGAUUUAAGUCCCAAGUAUAAAGUUUAUGCUUUCUUUAGAA
RNAcentral lists this transfer RNA (65 nucleotides) under Necrodes littoralis. RNAcentral's name for it is "tRNA-Leu". Lineage: Eukaryota; Metazoa; Arthropoda; Insecta; Coleoptera; Silphidae. The record is from RNAcentral.